RNAcentral lists this ribosomal RNA (505 nucleotides) under uncultured bacterium. RNAcentral's name for it is "partial 16S ribosomal RNA". It matches the Rfam family "Bacterial small subunit ribosomal RNA", at positions 28 to 507 of the family's 1533-position model. The record is from RNAcentral.
GACGAACGCUGGCGGCGUGCCUAAUACAUGCAAGUAGAACGCACAGUUUAUACCGUAGCUUGCUACACCAUAAACUGUGAGUUGCGAACGGGUGAGUAACGCGUAGGUAACCUGCCUGGUAGCGGGGGAUAACUAUUGGAAACGAUAGCUAAUACCGCAUAAUAUUGAUUAUUGCAUGAUAAUUGAUUGAAGGAUGCUAUUGCAUCACUACCAGAUGGACCUGCGUUGUAUUAGCUAGUAGGUGAGGUAACGGCUCACCUAGGCGACGAUACAUAGCCGACCUGAGAGGGUGAUCGGCCACACUGGGACUGAGACACGGCCCAGACUCCUACGGGAGGCAGCAGUAGGGAAUCUUCGGCAAUGGACGAAAGUCUGACCGAGCAACGCCGCGUGAGUGAAGAAGGUUUUCGGAUCGUAAAGCUCUGUUGUAAGAGAAGAACGGGUGUGAGAGUGGAAAGUUCACACUGUGACGGUAUCUUACCAGAAAGGGACGGCCAACUACGUG